This 1153-nucleotide long non-coding RNA is filed under the name Pan troglodytes (chimpanzee). RNAcentral describes it as "long non-coding RNA NONPTRT011535". Lineage: Eukaryota; Metazoa; Chordata; Mammalia; Primates; Hominidae. The record is from RNAcentral.
ACACAAAGGAUCCUGUGGGCUUGAACAAGGGGCUUGAACAAAAAGCAGUUACUCCACAGAAGACCAGAGGGGUCCUCCCAGCAUUCUGGCUCUAUGAGGAAACUGAGACCCAGAGAUGGAGCUGGGAUUCAAAACAAUGUCUAGUGUGACUCCAGAGCCUUUCCUAACUCCAACUUAAAGCCUCUGAGGAAUGCUGAAAAGAGCACAGGACAUAGAAUCCAGAUUAAAAUGAUGAAAGUCAUCAACCUUAAAAGAAGCAAAAAAGAAGAGAAUUAGCUCCUCUGUGUAAUUUUUUUAAAUAUAGCAUCAAACCAUCUUCCCGUCAGCAACAGGCACUGCAGUAUUGAAGAUCAUCACAUGAGGGCAGAGGGCGUAAAAAAGGAUGGUGUGUUGAGACCAGAAGCAGCAGCAGUCCUUGACAUCAACUACAACUUUCCUUCGCACAGUGCAUACCCUCUGAUAUACUGAACCCAACGCCUAUCCUCCAGCCCCCUAAGAACUAGAGAGGGAGCCUCACAACAUUCCAAUUUAAUCCUUCAGAAAAUUCAUUACUCUUCAAAGUUGUCUGUGGUUUUGUGACAACGAUAUGACUAGGUGCAAAAUGGCUUGCAACUAAUUAACAAACAUAGAAGCAUCCAACAAACAUAUGUGUACAAUCUGAGGAUGUAGGGAUGAAAUCAGUUAUCCAGGUUAGCUAUCAACAAAAGAGCAGUAAUUAUAAAGUUUCAUGAAGAAAGUGGCUGUUGAGGUGUGGACUAUGAAAGUAAGACUGACAACAAGAAAUGAUUUUGUUAUAAUCAAGAAGUGAAACUAAAUAAAUGUUCUUUAAAUUGAUGGAUAAAUAAGAAAGAAUUUAUUUACAAGAGUAAAUAAAUCCAAUACUUGUUAUAAAUAAGAUAAAGCUGGCUAUAAAUUCACAUUUUCAUGUGAGCGUUUUGAAGUAUGUGGACAUAAAAAACACACACCUCAAGUAUACUUCUCAAUGAUUUCUGAUAAAGAAUACACCUUUGUAACCAGCACAUGGUGUAAAACCAGAAACAGAACAUUACCAGAUUCCUAAACAAGCCUUCUUUGUGCCCCUUUUUAGUCACUACCCUCCCCCAUUCAAGGUAACUUCUAUCUUGACUUCUAACACCACACUUUUAGUUUUGCC